AACGAACGCUGGCGGCAUGCCUAACACAUGCAAGUCGAACGAGACCUUCGGGUCUAGUGGCGCACGGGUGCGUAACGCGUGGGAAUCUACCCUUGGGUUCGGAAUAACUCAGAGAAAUUUGAGCUAAUACCGGAUGAUGUCGCAAGACCAAAGAUUUAUCGCCCAAGGAUGAGCCCGCGUAGGAUUAGCUUGUUGGUGAGGUAAAAGCUCACCAAGGCGACGAUCCUUAGCUGGUCUGAGAGGAUGAUCAGCCACACUGGGACUGAGACACGGCCCAGACUCCUACGGGAGGCAGCAGUGGGGAAUAUUGGACAAUGGGCGAAAGCCUGAUCCAGCAAUGCCGCGUGAGUGAUGAAGGCCUUAGGGUUGUAAAGCUCUUUUACCCGGGAUGAUAAUGACAGUACCGGGAGAAUAAGUACCCGGCUAACUUCGUGCCAGCAGCCGCGGUAAU
Molecule: ribosomal RNA, 451 nt
Filed under: uncultured bacterium
Lineage: Bacteria
Description: bacterial SSU rRNA
Rfam family: Bacterial small subunit ribosomal RNA
Source: RNAcentral